UGGUUCUGGCAUCGAUGAAGAACGCAGCGAAAUGCGAUAAGUAAUGUGAAUUGCAGAAUUCAGUGAAUCAUCGAAUCUUUGAACGCACAUUGCGCCCGCCAGUAUUCUGGCGGGCAUGCCUGUUCGAGCGUCAUUUCAACCCUCAAGCCCCCGGGCUUGGUGUUGGGAACCGACCGGCUAGACCCGAUCGCUCCCGAAAUCUAGUGGCGAUCCCACCAACGCACCCUUGGCGUAGUAACAUACCCCGCCCUGGAACUUGGUGUGGUCAGGCCGUUAAACCCCCCACUUCUCAAGGUUGACCUCGGAUCAGGUAGGAAUACCCGCUGA
RNAcentral lists this unclassified non-coding RNA (327 nucleotides) under uncultured fungus. Its description in RNAcentral is "partial contains 5.8S ribosomal RNA and internal transcribed spacer 2". The stretch from base 1 to 133 matches the Rfam family "5.8S ribosomal RNA", at positions 22 to 154 of the family's 154-position model. Lineage: Eukaryota; Fungi. The record is from RNAcentral.